UCGAACGGGCUCUUCGGAGCUAGUGGCGGACGGGUGAGUAACGCGUGAGGAUCUGCCUUCAGGAGGGGGAUAACGACUGGAAACGGUCGCUAAUACCGCAUAUGCCUACGGGUGAAAGANUAUCGCCUGGAGAUGAACUCGCGUCAGAUUAGCUAGUUGGCGGGGUAAGAGCCUACCAAGGCGACGAUCUGUAGCUGGUCUGAGAGGAUGAUCAGCCACACUGGGACUGAGACACGGCCCAGACUCCUACGGGAGGCAGCAGUGGGGAAUUUUCCGCAAUGGGCGCAAGCCUGACGGAGCAAGACCGCGUGCGGGAUGACGGCCUAAUGGUUGUAAACCGCUUUUCUCUGGGAAGAUGAUGACGGUACCAGAGGAAUCAGCCUCGGCUAACUCCGUGCCAGCAGCCGCGGCAAUACGGAGGAGGCAAGCGUUAUCCGGAAUUAUUGGGCGUAAAGCGUCCGUAGGUGGUUAUUCAAGUCUGCUGUCAAAGCGUGGGGCUUAACUCCAUAGAGGCAGUGGAAACUGGAUGACUUGAGUGCGGUAGGGGUCGAGGGAAUUCCCAGUGUAGCGGUGACAUGCGUAGAUAUUGGGAAGAACACCAGUGGCGAAAGCGCUCGACUGGGCCUGCACUGACACUGAGGGACGAAAGCUAGGGGAGCGAACGGGAUUAGAUACCCCUGUAGUCCUAGCCGUAAACGAUGGAUACUAGGUGUUGCUCGUCAUCGACCCGAGCAGUGCCGUAGCCAACGCGUUAAGUAUCCCGCCUGGGGAGUACGCUCGCAAGAGUGAAAUUCAAAGGAAUUGACGGGGGCCCGCACAACCGGUGGAGUAUGUGGUUUAAUUCGAUGCAACGCGAAGAACCUUACCAGGGCUUGACAUGUCCGGGAACCUUGCCGACAGGUAAGGGUGCCUACGGGAACCGGAGCACAGGUGGUGCAUGGCUGUCGUCAGCUCGUGUCGUGAGAUGUUGGUUAAAGUCCCGCAACGAGCGCA
RNAcentral lists this ribosomal RNA (993 nucleotides) under uncultured organism. RNAcentral describes it as "bacterial SSU rRNA". It matches the Rfam family "Bacterial small subunit ribosomal RNA", at positions 62 to 1100 of the family's 1533-position model. The record is from RNAcentral.